CGCAGUGACAGGUGGUGCAUGGCUGUCGUCAGCUCGUGUCGUGAGAUGUUGGGUUAAGUCCCGCAACGAGCGCAACCCACGUCGUUAGUUGCCAGCAUUCAGUUGGGCACUCUAGCGAGACCGCCGGUGAUAAACCGGAGGAAGGUGUGGAUGACGUCAAGUCAUCAUGCCCCUUACAUCCUGGGCUACACACGUACUACAAUGCUACGGACAAAGGGCCGCAAGCUCGCGAGAGUUAGCAAAUCCCAUAAACCGUGGCUCAGUUCAGACCGUAGGCUGCAACUCGCCUACGUGAAGGAGGAAUCGCUAGUAAUCGCAGGUCAGCAUACUGCGGUGAAUACGUUCCCGGGCCUUGUACACACCGCCCGUCACACCAUGGAAGUGGCCACG
Molecule: ribosomal RNA, 390 nt
Filed under: uncultured Synechococcus sp.
Lineage: Bacteria; Bacillati; Cyanobacteriota; Cyanophyceae; Synechococcales; Synechococcaceae
Description: bacterial SSU rRNA
Rfam family: Bacterial small subunit ribosomal RNA
Source: RNAcentral